Molecule: small RNA, 240 nt
Filed under: Vigna angularis var. angularis
Lineage: Eukaryota; Viridiplantae; Streptophyta; Magnoliopsida; Fabales; Fabaceae
Description: Non-protein coding transcript
Source: RNAcentral
GGGAGCGCCACCAUUCUGCACAGUGUAUAUAAUUUCUAAAGGAAAAAUCUCGAGUGUGAGAUCUGCUACUGCUCCAUUGGCUCCUAAACCUGCCGCACCACGUAACCAAUUGCAGCCACAACAGCCACAGCCACUACAGCCGCAGCCACGCUACCAGCCACUGAUGCGAAACCCUGAAGGACUUUUUGAAUCUCAUCAAACCCGCAACUACCCACCACGACCUUCACAAGGGAGUGGGAU